CUAGACCGAUAGAAAGAGAGAAAGAGAUCGAGAGACAGAGAGAGAUCGUGAGACGGAGAAGAACAGUGAAGAACCAGAUCGAGAAGAGAAGAUAAAUGAGACGGAGAAGACACUAAUCGCGUUUGUGACACAGUGAAGAACAGGGGAUGAAUAUGUUGUAUGCACAAGCUGCUUGAAGAGAAUAUUUAGGAGAAAAGUUACCAGAUUGAAAGGCGAAGUACCAAAAGGAUUACCAGAUUGGAAAGAAGAAGAGAAAGAACAUCUAGGAGAAGAACUUUCAGAUGUUCUAUUAUAUCUAGUUCAACUUUCUCAUUAUUGUGUGAUUGAUCUUGGUAAAACUGCUCUUAGAAAAGUUCAUCUUAAUGCUAUUAAACACCCAGUGAUUAGAUGUAUGUUAGGUGUUAAAGGGAAUUUUUGUAAUUUGUGUUUGAUCUUUGUAAAGCUGUCAAAUUUAUGCACUUAUAUUUAUCAAAUUAACGGCUACAGAUUAAAUUAUUGUGCACUUAAUCUGUACCCGUUAAUUUGAAUUGAUGUCAUACGUGUCGCAAUCCUAUUUAAUAGGACACGCUGGUCAUUUGUAAAAAAUAAACUACCAUUUCGGUAAAACA
This is a long non-coding RNA of Papaver somniferum (opium poppy), 608 nucleotides long. RefSeq lists it as uncharacterized. The record is from RefSeq and is a predicted model, not a curated record. Lineage: Eukaryota; Viridiplantae; Streptophyta; Magnoliopsida; Ranunculales; Papaveraceae. The transcript has 2 exons.